RNAcentral lists this long non-coding RNA (300 nucleotides) under Anser cygnoides (Swan goose). RNAcentral describes it as "lncRNA (ENSACDG00005006962.1)". Lineage: Eukaryota; Metazoa; Chordata; Aves; Anseriformes; Anatidae. The record is from RNAcentral.
UCGCGGACGCUGCUGGCUCCGCCUACGCCUCGUCAGCCUCCCUCACGAGGGCUGCCGGUGCCUGGCGGCUCCCUCACGUAGGCUCGAUGCCCGAAAAAGAGCCCUGCCUGUCCCGAUCCCGCGCUCCGCUGCAGCACGCGUCUGCCCCGGAGCCGGUCGCCUCGGUGCUUAUAUCUUUCAGCUGCUGUAGAAGAGCCAAGGGGACCAACCUGAACUGGUCGUUUUUGACUUUCACCUCAAGGCAAAUGGAGAGGCAGCCUCUUGCCUGAGAGUGCAAUAAAGCAGAGCCUGCAGCUUCCA